RNAcentral lists this ribosomal RNA (305 nucleotides) under uncultured bacterium. RNAcentral describes it as "bacterial SSU rRNA". It matches the Rfam family "Bacterial small subunit ribosomal RNA", at positions 333 to 652 of the family's 1533-position model. The record is from RNAcentral.
AAAGUCCUACGGGAGGCAGCGGUGGGGAAUAUUGCACAAUGGGCGAAAGCCUGAUGCAGCAACGCCGCGUGAAGGAAGGAGGGUUUCGGCUCGUAAACUUCUAUUAACAGGGACGAAAGAAAUGACGGUACCUGAAUAAGAAGCCCCGGCUAACUACGUGCCAGCAGCCGCGGUAAUACGUAGGGGGCAAGCGUUAUCCGGAAUUACUGGGUGUAAAGGGUGAGUAGGCGGUAUGGUAAGCCAGAUGUGAAAGCCUUGGGCUUAACCCGGGGAUUGCAUUUGGAACUAUCAAGCUAGAGUACAGG